This 107-nucleotide small nuclear RNA is filed under the name Erinaceus europaeus (western European hedgehog). The record is from RNAcentral. Lineage: Eukaryota; Metazoa; Chordata; Mammalia; Eulipotyphla; Erinaceidae.
GUCCUUGCUUCGGUAGCACAUACACUAAAAUUGGCAUGAUACAGAGAAGAUUAGCAUGGCCCCUGCUCAAGGAUUACACACACAUUCAUGAGACAUACCAUAUUUUU